AUGCAUUUUCCACCCUAUAGUUAUAGGAACUUUUUUUAAAAUUUUUAGGAGUACUAUCACCCCCCGAAUUUUUUUACACCAUUUCAAUGACACCCUGUAUAAUGAGUGAUGACGAUCCAAAAUAUUACAAUGCAUGGAUAAUGGCUAUGGAUGCAGAACAUAAACGAAGAAGAUUACUUUGUUCCUGGCAUAUAGUGAAAAAUUGGAACAUACAAGGAAGGUCUAAAAUCAAGAAGUUGGAAAAUAGACAGAUAAUGAAACAUGAAAUGAGGAAAAUUUUAAAGGAGACUGAUCCACAAAAAUUUAUACAGCUGAAAGAGAACUAUUUUAGGCAAUUAGAAGAAGAAAAGGAAACUAAUUUUCAGAAUUACCUGAAAAAGUACUAUUUCCAAAGUCAAGAGAGAAUAAUGAUGUGGGCACAUUGUUAUAGAAUCAAUGCCGGAAUUAAUACAAAUAUGGCAAUUGAAAGCUUAAAUAAAGUUCUGAAGUACAACAAAAUGAAUGGAAAGCAGAAUAUUAGGAUUGAAAAACUGUUGGAUUUACUGGAUAAACUUGUUGAUGAAAGAAUGUGGAAAAGGAUUAUAAACAUGAAAAGGCCAAAUGCAAAUAAUUAUCAGCACAAAAUAUGUCAGAGUGCACAUAAAAAAGCAGAAGAAAUGGUGGGUAAUAACGGUAAUGUAUCAUAUUCUGAAUUAGGACAUUUUAAGGUAAGGUCGUUUAGUGAUAAUCAUAAAUUGUAUUGUGUAAAUUAUAAUGAGGUUUGUGAUGAGGACUGUAGGGCAAUGUAUUGUUGGGAAUUGUGAUUGUCCAGAAUAUACUGUUAAAAGUGUCAUGUGUAAGCAUAUACAUGCUGUAGCUUUAUUUGAGCAGAGGAGCGAAUAUGUUUCAGGUUUCAUGGAUGAAAUGCAAGAAGAUAAUAAUCUGUAUGUCAAUAAACCUUCAACAAGCAAGACAGUUUAUGAGGAUGAAGUAAAUCAUUUUCUUGACGAGACUGAAAAUAGAAUGAAUGUGACAAUUGAUUUUGAAAGAAAGCGUGAGAUUUGUCUAGAACAGUUUUGCUCUGAAAUUCGUAAUUAUGGUGGUGGAUUGGGUGAACAUGAUUUAGAAAAAUUUAUGGGUGAUUUUCGAAAUUUUAUGCAGACAGUAAAACAAAAAGAAAUGGUGAUGAGUAAAAAAAGAAAAAUAGAAAAGCAGCAGUAUUAUCUCAACAAAAAACCUAAAUAAAUUUAUUUAUAAUAAAAUGUUUAUAACUAUUUCAUUACUGAAUGACAUUGCUUUUGUGAGUGACCUAUUCUGGUAUUAUAUCUAAGUAGUGUUGGCUAUUUGUAUUCAUGUAAUUCGUUGGCUUACGGUGAAGGAUACUUAUAAAAUAUAUUUUUUUAAUUUUAA
Long non-coding RNA from Anthonomus grandis grandis, 1389 nucleotides. RefSeq lists it as uncharacterized. The transcript has 5 exons. The record is from RefSeq and is a predicted model, not a curated record. Lineage: Eukaryota; Metazoa; Arthropoda; Insecta; Coleoptera; Curculionidae.